CAUAUCAAAGUUAGGUAUAUUGUUCUUCCUUGUUAAAUAUUGUCCUUAUGAUUUAUUCUCCCACCGAUCUUAGGCUGAAUAACAUUGGACACAAUGUUAUUUAAGUCUGGGGGAGGUUAUAUUAAUAUUAGGUUUUAGUUAGAUGUUUAGAAUGGAGACUCAAGUAAACGAUUGCCAUGAUAUUGACCGACGAGAACAAAUCGAUAUCGAUCGACAUUGCUACAUCUUCCACGACCGAUGACAACACGUUUACAUCGAUCGACAUCCAUUCCGGUCAGGUAUAACAUUCUAAAUUGUUAAAUUGAGUACUUAUGAUUUAUUUACACCAUAACUCCGACUGGAUAUACACUGGUCACAGCGUUAUCUAAGUCUGGGGGAGGUUCUACUGAUAUUGUGUUUUAGUUAUGAAAAAAAAAAAAAAACAGAUCCAUUGCUCAGAUCAUCGACCGAUGAGACCAUCUCGAUAUCGAUCGACAACACUUCAUCAACAACGAUCGAUUGUCACUUCAUUAUAUCGAUCGAUACUGAGCAGGUUAUCGUUCUUACUUGUUAAAUUGUGUACUUCUGCUUUAUCAUUUUCACUUUACCACCGACUGUGUUACACUGGGGACAGUGUAAUUUAAGUCUGGGGGGAUUACUAACGUUUAUCUACCUUUAUGAGUCUUAUUUAAAAUAUUUUCAAAAUCUGUUUUUAUUGAGUCAAGAAGGGGAUAAUGAACUUAUUAGAUUCAUGCUUGUUAUCUAACCACUCUCUAGCACCAUUCUAGACUUACUGAUUGCAGAUAGUACUAAAGAUACUAAAGUGGAUCAACCUGUCAACUAUGUUCACACUUGCUGAGAUUGUUUGAAGGAACCGAAGCUGACCUCCAACCUAAUUUGACUUAACUGCUUGUCUUGGGGCUUGGUAUACACUGGAUCGGAUUCCUCCUUCAGGUCUGAAGUGUAAAAGUCUGAGUGAUUUUGGUUUCCUUCUCUCCUCCCUUUGGCAUCCUAAUAAAAUAAAAUAAAAGAUUGAGAUGAUUUCUUGCGGUUUAGAGGGGUAGGAGCGUCUCCUGUGACCCCAUUAUUCUACUCUAAUAGAAUGAUCACACAUUGUUGGAAGCGAGGGGUAGGUACAUUACCGAUGACCCCACUAUUCGCCUACACUUUGUCAAGAAAAGAAAAAAAAUAUAUAUAUAUAAUUUAAAAAAAGAAAAAUCGAAAAGAAGGUGAAUAAGAUGGACUGCAUCAGCAUCUUUGUUCAUUGGUAUUGAGAUAAAAAGGAUUCAGAGAAGGGAGAUAUAGAGUAAAAGAAACCAGAACAAGACUACAUGUUUACUCAGAUACCUGUUGGGGUAAGAGUCCAUGUGUCUUGCGAUCGAUACUCC
This 1367-nucleotide long non-coding RNA is filed under the name Brassica rapa (field mustard). Its description in RNAcentral is "long non-coding RNA (BRAP_LNC003605)". The record is from RNAcentral. Lineage: Eukaryota; Viridiplantae; Streptophyta; Magnoliopsida; Brassicales; Brassicaceae.